GUGCAGGGGCGGCAUGCUAUACAUGCAAGUCGAACGAGCUUCCGUUGAAUGACGUGCUUGCACUGAUUUCAACAAUGAAGCGAGUGGCGAACUGGUGAGUAACACGUGGGGAAUCUGCCCAGAAGCAGGGGAUAACACUUGGAAACAGGUGCUAAUACCGUAUAACAACAAAACCCGCAUGGAUUUUGUUUGAAAGGUGGCUUCGGCUAUCACUUCUGGAUGAUCCCGCGGCGUAUUAGUUAGUUGGUGAGGUAAAGGCCCACCAAGACGAUGAUACGUAGCCGACCUGAGAGGGUAAUCGGCCACAUUGGGACUGAGACACGGCCCAAACUCCUACGGGAGGCAGCAGUAGGGAAUCUUCCACAAUGGACGAAAGUCUGAUGGAGCAAUGCCGCGUGAGUGAAGAAGGGUUUCGGCUCGUAAAACUCUGUUGUUAAAGAAGAACACCUUUGAGAGUAACUGUUCAAGGGUUGACGGUAUUUAACCAGAAAGCCACGGCUAACUACGUGCCAGCAGCCGCGGUAAUACGUAGGUGGCAAGCGUUGUCCGGAUUUAUUGGGCGUAAAGCGAGCGCAGGCGGCUUUUUAAGUCUGAUGUGAAAGCCUUCGGCUUAACCGGAGAA
RNAcentral lists this ribosomal RNA (622 nucleotides) under Levilactobacillus brevis. Its description in RNAcentral is "bacterial SSU rRNA". It matches the Rfam family "Bacterial small subunit ribosomal RNA", at positions 33 to 620 of the family's 1533-position model. Lineage: Bacteria; Bacillati; Bacillota; Bacilli; Lactobacillales; Lactobacillaceae. The record is from RNAcentral.